AGUGAACGCUGGCGGUAGGCCUAACACAUGCAAGUCGAACGGCAGCACAGUAAGAGCUUGCUCUUACGGGUGGCGAGUGGCGGACGGGUGAGGAAUACAUCGGAAUCUACUUUUUCGUGGGGGAUAACGUAGGGAAACUUACGCUAAUACCGCAUACGACCUACGGGUGAAAGCAGGGGAUCUUCGGACCUUGCGCGAUUGAAUGAGCCGAUGUCGGAUUAGCUAGUUGGCGGGGUAAAGGCCCACCAAGGCGACGAUCCGUAGCUGGUCUGAGAGGAUGAUCGGCCCCACUGGAACUGAGACACGGUCCAACCCCCUAGGGGGGGCAGCGGUGGGGAAUAUUGGAAAAGGGGGGAAAGCCUGACCCAGCCAUACCGGGGGGGGAAAGAAGGCCUUGGGGUUGUAAAGCCCUUUUGUGGGGAAAAAAAAGAAGCAGGUUAAUCCCCCGCUGUUCGGACGGUACCCAAAAAAAAAGCACCGGCAAACUUGGG
RNAcentral lists this ribosomal RNA (491 nucleotides) under uncultured bacterium. Its description in RNAcentral is "partial 16S ribosomal RNA". It matches the Rfam family "Bacterial small subunit ribosomal RNA", at positions 29 to 506 of the family's 1533-position model. The record is from RNAcentral.